UACGUAGGGCGCAAGCGUUGUCCGGAAUUAUUGGGCGUAAAGCGCUCGUAGGCGGUGUGUCACGUCGGCCGUGAAAACCUGCAGCUUAACUGUGGGCGUGCGGUCGAUACGGGCAUCACUGGAGUUCGGCAGGGGAGACUGGAAUUCCUGGUGUAGCGGUGAAAUGCGCAGAUAUCAGGAGGAACACCGGUGGCGAAGGCGGGUCUCUGGGCCGAUACUGACGCUGAGGAGCGAAAGCGUGGGGAGCAAACAGG
Molecule: ribosomal RNA, 254 nt
Filed under: uncultured bacterium
Lineage: Bacteria
Description: partial 16S ribosomal RNA
Rfam family: Bacterial small subunit ribosomal RNA
Source: RNAcentral